AUGACAUUAUCUCAAAUUGUGAGAGAAGCGUGCAUAACCUUGUCUAUGUGUCCAGAAAUUAUUCCUCUGUGUCAGAAUUUCAUGUCAAAGGCUCAAAAGCAAACUGUAUAACUUAGUUCUCAGUGAAGGGAUUUCUAAGGGACAACUGAGGCCACAAGAAGAAGACUCCAAAACAAGACAAAGUACUUUAUGUCCCUUGGAAAGAUGCUGAAGGGAUCAGGAGCUCAAGCAGUGUUCUCCUCAGUCCUCCCAGUUGGAGACUAGGAACCAAGGAGGAGGUAGCAUACGGAUCAGAUUUCUGAUGAAGAAAAUUCAAAUUCUGGAGCAACUUAGAGUGAGAUUCAACAAAAUGAUUUGGCACACAAAAUUUGUCUUGUCUUCUACCCCUGGCUUAGCCUUCACAAAAUGCAUAAAUCUGUAGGAUCUAUCUGGCUAGAUUUAAAAUUCCCUAGUUUUUGAGACCCACACUGCUACGAAUACUUCAAUUUCAGUAGCUCAGUGCCAGUUGUCCUAUUUAAGCUUCAUUGAGUCUUGGGAAUGAGCUAUUCCUUUGCUCCUGAGAGAUCUGCUCCAUUACAGUGUUUUGGAAAUGCAUUCAUAUGAUUGACAUUUCUACAGAACUGUGGGAGCCACUUACUCUUUUGAACAUAAUUGCUAUGGGAGGAGACAAUCAGAAUACUAUUCAUUUCACUAGUCUAACAGAAUUGUAUUGCAUACUAUCAUAAGGUAAAAUGCAUUUUGGAUAAUACCUCUGGACCCUCAACAGGCUGUGUCAGUCCUGAGCUACAGCACAACUUCCUUUCAACAUUUCAUAUUGACUACAGUAUAACAGGACACGUGGACUGGAAUCUUAUGUAUCAGGAACAGACAGUGAAUGUGGAUUUCUUAUCUCGUCUAUGAUUGCUCAAGCGAUUAAGGAAUUAUAUAAAAGAGGCUGCAAUUCUUUAGAAGUCACUUUUGUAUUAGAAAAGAGAAAAGUGAACUUUGCCCAGGUAUUGGGAAGAGUGUUUGUAGAUGCUUACUGGGUGCUGAAGUUUGAUUUAUGGGGUAGGAUUGAACCCACUCUGAGCAACUUAUCUCACCACUAUAUCUUAAGACUGAGAGACCAAAAGCUAAGCGCUUUUCAAAUUUUGAUUCCUAGCUGUCUUUAGAUUUCAGUCUCACUAAAUGUAAAUGUUUAAAUAUAAAAUCUAGAUACUAUUGUAUUUUUUCCAUUUCUGCCUCUCCUUUUAUAUUAAGAGAGACUGUUUUCUUUCAAAUAAAUUAUAAUGUUUCUCCAAUGCACAGUUUCUGUGCUUUGGAGAUCUGAUACCAGUUAACUCUCUUGCUACUAUAGCAGAACUAAUAACAGAGCAUGACUGAUAGACAGAAGUAAUGUUGUUCAAAAGAAAAAAUCCCUUCCACUUUUUCUUUUGAAUUUGUUAGACCUCUCUUCUCUAUAGGGUUUGUUUCAGCAAACAAUUUGAAAAUGCUGAGCCAGUCAGAAUAUAGUGAUCUACAUCUUUGAUGUAUAGAAAUCAAGAAAAUAUUAAACUUAUUUACAUAGUCUGAGUAUAUGAGACUUGUGAAAUGAGAAUUCAUCGUCCUGUGUUGCUACUGAGAAAUGUACAGGAUAAACUGGACAUACAACACAUUAAGUCUGUAAUCUAAGGAAAAUUUACUGUUACAUGUAUGUACCACAAACUGCACAGACUUCUGUCAUUUGAUUGUGUAACGCAAUUCUAUUUUCAUCUUGAAAUGAAGCAAUUAAUAUUUUUUCCUAAUCGUUUGCAGAGUUCCAAUCCACAUACUCAAUUGCAUUUUCCUUUUUAGUGGCUCAUAACAUCUUUUGCCUAUGUUCUUUCUAGAAUUACCACUGGUAAAAAUAUAUGGACCAUAUAAUCCUAUUCUUCCUCUACAGUGUCACAGUACAAAGCAGUUAGAAAUAUGAUUUCAUCUGGUUAAAGAGGUUUGCAGCACUUUGAAAGCACUGAAGUGACACCAAGCAGCUUAACUGCAUGGACAUACCUAUCUCCUCUUUCUCUUAAAAUGCAACUAUGUAUGUACAUGUAUACUCAUUCUUUUUUAUUGUUAAAUAGCCUUUGUACUCUGAACAUUAGGAAAGAGAAAUAACACUUUCAGAAUGUAUAUUAAAAUGUAUACUGCAUUCAUGUAUGCUUUGGUGAAAGGUUAUCUAUAUAUAUAUAUAUUUUAUUUUUUUUUCCGAUUUCCUUUAUCAUCUACUACAGGCAAUGAAGGUGCUGAAAAAUAUGAGAGAAAGAGAAAAAGCGAAAUAAAAAAACAAAACAAAACAAAAAAAAAACCACAGAAUUUCCAGAUUAUUAAUUAUCUUAAAGUUACUAAUUUUAUAUUAUUUACCUUUUCAACUUCCACCUUUCUACAUUUCACCUUCAAACAAAUAAAAGAAUUUACUUCAGAAAAAUAAUUAAAAAAAAUAAAAUCAUAUGAUCAGAUGUAAUUAAAAACCAAGAUUGAGCAUAAGAACAGGUUUCCCCGAGUGGUUGUGGAGUCUCCAUCUUUGGAGACAGUGAAAAGCCACCUGGAUAUGGUCCUGGGCAACCUGCUGUGGGUGACCCUGCUUGUACAAGGAGGUUGGACCAAAUGGCCUCCAUAGGUACUUCAAUCACACUGUGAUUUUGUAAUAGAAACUAAAUGCUAAUGAUACCAUUUUUCUCCUAUGACAAUAGUCCU
Molecule: long non-coding RNA, 2691 nt
Organism: Anas platyrhynchos (mallard)
Lineage: Eukaryota; Metazoa; Chordata; Aves; Anseriformes; Anatidae
Source: RefSeq, a predicted model, not a curated record